This 497-nucleotide ribosomal RNA is filed under the name uncultured bacterium. RNAcentral's name for it is "partial 16S ribosomal RNA". It matches the Rfam family "Bacterial small subunit ribosomal RNA", at positions 28 to 507 of the family's 1533-position model. The record is from RNAcentral.
GAUGAACGCUGGCGGCGUGCCUAAUACAUGCAAGUCGAGCGAACAGAUGAGGAGCUUGCUCCUCUGACGUUAGCGGCGGACGGGUGAGUAACACGUGGAUAACCUACCUAUAAGACUGGGAUAACUUCGGGAAACCGGAGCUAAUACCGGAUAAUAUAUUGAACCGCAUGGUUCAAUAGUGAAAGACGGUUUUGCCGUCACUUAUAGAUGGAUCCGCGCCGCAUUAGCUAGUUGGUAAGGUAACGGCUUACCAAGGCGACGAUGCGUAGCCGACCUGAGAGGGUGAUCGGCCACACUGGAACUGAGACACGGUCCAGACUCCUACGGGAGGCAGCAGUAGGGAAUCUUCCGCAAUGGGCGAAAGCCUGACGGAGCAACGCCGCGUGAGUGAUGAAGGUCUUCGGAUCGUAAAACUCUGUUAUUAGGGAAGAACAAAUGUGUAAGUAACUAUGCACGUCUUGACGGUACCUAAUCAGAAAGCCACGGCUAACUACGUG